This 22-nucleotide transfer RNA is filed under the name Spilogale gracilis (western spotted skunk). RNAcentral's name for it is "partial tRNA-Thr". The record is from RNAcentral. Lineage: Eukaryota; Metazoa; Chordata; Mammalia; Carnivora; Mephitidae.
GUCUUUGUAGUAUAUAAUUACC